UUUUGGGAUUGUGUCCGCCUGGAUCCUCCCUAAGGAUGGGACCAGUCCAGCCCACUGAGAAGCUGUAACCAACAGGGUCCUGGCUGUCUUAGAUCUCUCAGGACCUGCCUGCUGUCCUGGCCCAGCACAGCAGCCACUAAGGAGACACUCCAGGCCAUGCUCAGUGCCUCUGAUACCAACUUCUGUGACCUUGGUCACAUGGCAAGACCUUGAUCUUUCUCUUCAGGCACUGUAUACACAAGUAUCAGCAGAAGAGUGUUUUGCUGCCAGCUCCAGCCUCUAGCAUCCCUCUAGGAACAUUAACAUAGCAGCGAGCUGGAAAAGAUACACACAAAGCACACUCCUUAAGAUGUAAACAAACAUUUAAAAGAGCCCAUACUGGCUCCAGCUUGGGUAGCAGCAACCAAUGGGAAGGCAGGAGAUAAAGGUGUGUCAGAUAUAAAGAUGUAAAGUCUUCCCUGAAAGGUGAC
Molecule: long non-coding RNA, 470 nt
Organism: Acomys russatus (golden spiny mouse)
Lineage: Eukaryota; Metazoa; Chordata; Mammalia; Rodentia; Muridae
Exons: 3
Source: RefSeq, a predicted model, not a curated record